GCUCUUGGGUUAGAUUGAAACAAAGAGAGGCAUACCUAAGACAAAGUGACUCUAGAAGUGUGAACUCAAAAUGUCUGAGACAAGUCUCAGUCAAUUUAGAAAGUUUAUUUUGUCAAGGUUAGGGACACACCAGUGACAUAGCCUCAGGAGGUCCUGAUAACAUGUGCCCAAGGUGGUCAGGGUACAGCUUGCUUUUAUACAUUUUAGGGAGACACAGUACAUCAAUCAGUACAUGUAAGAUUUACAUUGGUUUGACCUGGAAGGGCAGGAUAGGGGCAGCCUUCCAGGUCAUAGGUAGAUUUAAAUUUUUUCUGAUGGCAAUUGGUCGAAAGAGUCAUUAUCAGUAGAAAGGAAUGUCUGGCUUAUGGUAAGGGGUUGUGGAGACCUAGGUUUUAUCAUGCAGAUGAGGCCUCCAAGUAGCAGGCUUCAGAGAGAAUAGAGUUUGAGUAUUUCUUAUCCCACUUAAGGUCUGAGUUGAUGUUAAUGCUGGAGGGGGAUGGAUAGUGAGGCAUGUCCAUCCUCCCCUUUUCCAUCAUGGCCUGAAAGAGAUUUUCAGGCAACUCCGGGAUGCCCUUGGCCAAGAGGGCCCAUUCAGAUGGUUGGGGGCCUUAGAAUUUUAUUUUUAGUUUACAGAAGGUUUGAAAUAAGGGGAUAGAAAAAUACAUACCAGGCAAAUAUUACUGUCAAUCAAAAUAGAGUUCAUAUGUUAAUAGAGAUACAACAAUAUUUCAUAAUAUUAACAGCUCAUCUGGAAGAUAAAAUAAUUAUGAUCUUGUAACAUACUCAGGGAAUGAGAAAGAAAAUCUGAUAAUCAUAGUGGGAAAUAUUACUAUACUCUGUCAUUGAUAAAUAAAAGUUAGUACAGCUAUAGAUUAUUUGAAGUCCAAAAUACUUUAUUAACAAGAGUUUAGUAAUUUAAUAAUUAUUAAUAGGUCUCAGAGAACCUUUCCCUGUCAGGAUGAUCUGAUUUUGUGAAUUUUGGCUGAACUGUAUACAGCUCUAUGGUGCCUUUUUUUUUUUUUUCUUUUGAGACAGAGUCUCGC
Molecule: long non-coding RNA, 1043 nt
Filed under: Homo sapiens (human)
Lineage: Eukaryota; Metazoa; Chordata; Mammalia; Primates; Hominidae
Description: non-protein coding lnc-C2orf73-2:1
Source: RNAcentral